This 129-nucleotide small nucleolar RNA is filed under the name Sciurus vulgaris (Eurasian red squirrel). Its description in RNAcentral is "Small nucleolar RNA SNORA68 (ENSSVLG00005003204.1)". It matches the Rfam family "Small nucleolar RNA SNORA68". From Rfam's summary of the family: U68 is a member of the H/ACA class of small nucleolar RNAs (snoRNAs) which act as guides in the the modification of uridines to pseudouridines. Lineage: Eukaryota; Metazoa; Chordata; Mammalia; Rodentia; Sciuridae. The record is from Rfam by way of RNAcentral.
CUCACACAUCAACCUAAGAAUCGCUGCUUCUUGUAGCACUGGUUUAAACAGAGGUGCACACGGCAAGUGGAUAUUGGCAACUUUGGCUGUGGUUGUGCCCCUCAAAGUAAAUUUGGAGGUUCUACAUUC